Molecule: ribosomal RNA, 484 nt
Filed under: uncultured bacterium
Lineage: Bacteria
Description: partial 16S ribosomal RNA
Rfam family: Bacterial small subunit ribosomal RNA
Source: RNAcentral
AUUGAACGCUGGCGGCAGGCCUAACACAUGCAAGUCGAGCGGAUGAAGGGAGCUUGCUCCUGGAUUCAGCGGCGGACGGGUGAGUAAUGCCUAGGAAUCUGCCUGGUAGUGGGGGAUAACGUCCGGAAACGGGCGCUAAUACCGCAUACGUCCUGAGGGAGAAGGUGGGGGAUCUUCGGACCUCACGCUAUAAGAUGAGCCUAGGUCGGAUUAGCUAGUUGGUGGGGUAAAGGCCUACCAAGGCGACGAUCCGUAACUGGUCUGAGAGGAUGAUCAGUCACACUGGAACUGAGACACGGUCCAGACUCCUACGGGAGGCAGCAGUGGGGAAUAUUGGACAAUGGGCGAAAGCCUGAUCCAGCCAUGCCGCGUGUGUGAAGAAGGUCUUCGGAUUGUAAAGCACUUUAAGUUGGGAGGAAGGGCAGUAAGUUAAUACCUUGCUGUUUUGACGUUACCAACAGAAUAAGCACCGGCUAACUUCGUG